This 70-nucleotide transfer RNA is filed under the name Glyptocephalus cynoglossus (witch). RNAcentral's name for it is "tRNA-His". It matches the Rfam family "tRNA". Rfam says of the family: Transfer RNA (tRNA) molecules are approximately 80 nucleotides in length. Their secondary structure includes four short double-helical elements and three loops (D, anti-codon, and T loops). The record is from RNAcentral. Lineage: Eukaryota; Metazoa; Chordata; Actinopteri; Pleuronectiformes; Pleuronectidae.
GUAGGUAUAGUUUUAACGAAAACAUUAGAUUGUGAUUCUAAAAAUAAGGGUUAAAACCCCUUUUCCCACC